RNAcentral lists this ribosomal RNA (905 nucleotides) under uncultured bacterium. Its description in RNAcentral is "bacterial SSU rRNA". It matches the Rfam family "Bacterial small subunit ribosomal RNA", at positions 33 to 943 of the family's 1533-position model. The record is from RNAcentral.
ACGCUGGCGGCGUGCUUAACACAUGCAAGUCGAACGAUGAAGCCUAGCUUGCUAGGUGGAUUAGUGGCGAACGGGUGAGUAAUACGUGAGUAACCUACCUUUAACUCUGGGAUAAGCCUGGGAAACUGGGUCUAAUACCGGAUACGACCAAUCUCCGCAUGGAGUGUUGGUGGAAAGCGUUAUGUAGUGGUUAUAGAUGGGCUCACGGCCUAUCAGCUUGUUGGUGAGGUAACGGCUCACCAAGGCGACGACGGGUAGCCGGCCUGAGAGGGUGACCGGCCACACUGGGACUGAGACACGGCCCAGACUCCUACGGGAGGCAGCAGUGGGGAAUAUUGCACAAUGGGCGCAAGCCUGAUGCAGCGACGCCACGUGAGGGAUGACGGCCUUCGGGUUGUAAACCUCUGUUAGCAGGGAAGAAGAGAAAUUGACGGUACCUGCAGAGAAAGCGCCGGCUAACUACGUGCCAGCAGCCGCGGUAAUACGUAGGGCGCGAGCGUUGUCCGGAAUUAUUGGGCGUAAAGAGCUUGUAGGCGGUUUGUCGCGUCUGCUGUGAAAGGCCGGGGCUUAACCCCGUGUAUUGCAGUGGGUACGGGCAGACUAGAGUGCAGUAGGGGAGACUGGAACUCCUGGUGUAGCGGUGGAAUGCGCAGAUAUCAGGAAGAACACCGAUGGCGAAGGCAGGUCUCUGGGCUGUAACUGACGCUGAGAAGCGAAAGCAUGGGGAGCGAACAGGAUUAGAUACCCUGGUAGUCCAUGCCGUAAACGUUGGGCACUAGGUGUGGGGGACAUUCCACGUUUUCCGCGCCGUAGCUAACGCAUUAAGUGCCCCGCCUGGGGAGUACGGCCGCAAGGCUAAAACUCAAAGAAAUUGACGGGGGCCCGCACAAGCGGCGGAGCAUGCG